AAUAAGUGUAGUUUUACACGGUUCAUGUUCAAUGUUUAACCGUUCGUCUUAUUAGAAAAACUUUUACGAUUAAUAUUGUUACUAGUACAUGAUAAAACAUGAAUAGCACUUUAUGUAUGGCUAACAUUUUUAAAAUUUUUUUAUAAAUUUUUCAAAUAAAACGAACGAUCAAAUGUUGGACAUGGAUACCUACGGUUGCACUUUUU
Non-coding RNA from Oryza barthii, 206 nucleotides. The record is from Rfam. Lineage: Eukaryota; Viridiplantae; Streptophyta; Magnoliopsida; Poales; Poaceae.